RNAcentral lists this ribosomal RNA (763 nucleotides) under uncultured fungus. RNAcentral describes it as "eukaryotic LSU rRNA". The stretch from base 345 to 498 matches the Rfam family "5.8S ribosomal RNA". Lineage: Eukaryota; Fungi. The record is from RNAcentral.
GGAAGUAAAAGUCGUAACAAGGUUUCCGUAGGUGAACCUGCGGAAGGAUCAUUAUUGAAUUAUGUUUUCUAGAUGGGUUGUAGCUGGCUCUUCGGAGUAUGUGCACGCCUGUCUGGACUUCAUUUUCAUCCACCUGUGCACCUUUUGUAGUCUUUUUCAGGUAUUGGAGGAAGUGGUCAGCCUAUCAGCUCUUUGCUGGAUGUAAGGACUUGCAGUGUGAAAACAGUGCUGUCCUUUACCUUGGCCAUGGAAUCUUUUUCCUGUUAGAGUCUAUGUUAUUCAUUAUACUCUUAGAAUGUCAUUGAAUGUCUUUACAUGGGCUAUGCCUAUGAAAAUUAUUAUACAACUUUCAGCAACGGAUCUCUUGGCUCUCGCAUCGAUGAAGAACGCAGCGAAAUGCGAUAAGUAAUGUGAAUUGCAGAAUUCAGUGAAUCAUCGAAUCUUUGAACGCAUCUUGCGCUCCUUGGUAUUCCGAGGAGCAUGCCUGUUUGAGUGUCAUUAUAUUCUCAACUCUCCAAUACUUUGUUGUAAAGGAGAGCUCGGAUUGUGGAGGUUUGCUGGCCCCUUACUUGGGGUCAGCUCCUCUGAAAUGCAUUAGCGGAACCGUCUGCGAUCUGCCACAAGUGUGAUAACUUAUCUACACUGGCGAGGGGAUUGCUUUCUGAUGUUCAGCUUCUAAUCGUCUAAGGACAAUUUCUUGAAUGCUUGACCUCAAAUCAGGUAGGACUACCCGCUGAACUUAAGCAUAUCAAUAAGCGGAGGA